Molecule: ribosomal RNA, 301 nt
Filed under: uncultured bacterium
Lineage: Bacteria
Description: partial 16S ribosomal RNA
Rfam family: Bacterial small subunit ribosomal RNA
Source: RNAcentral
CAGUCGCCGCGGAAUACGUAGGUGGCAAGCGUUGUCCGGAAUUAUUGGGCGUAAAGCGCGCGUAGGCGGUUUUUUAAGUCUGAUGUGAAAGCCCACGGCUCAACCGUGGAGGGUCAUUGGAAACUGGAAAACUUGAGUGCAGAAGAGGAAAGUGGAAUUCCAUGUGUAGCGGUGAAAUGCGCAGAGAUAUGGAGGAACACCAGUGGCGAAGGCGACUUUCUGGUCUGUAACUGACGCUGAUGUGCGAAAGCGUGGGGAUCAAACAGGAUUAGAUACCCCCGUAGUCCCUGUCCUCUUAUAC